GAAAGGUGUGGCCACGAGAAUCUAGAGGAAACCAACUCGCAAGUCGCUGGAGCUGAAGGGCUAGUAGUCAGGCCGAAUCUCGCGAGAAUUGGAACUAUUUCAGACCCAGAGCACGAUAGUGGCGGAGGCGAACUUUGCCCGGUAGUUUUUACUGAUUGGGGUGCUGGCGCGCGCCUUUUUCUCGGCCAGAAUACAAUUAUUGGGAUAGUCUUUUCUUCUACCUCAGCCCCACUUCUGUGGUCGUAAUAAGUUUAGCUUGGGUUUGCCGUGAAGUAAGAAGACUGACUUCCGCAAACGUACUGAACGACUGGGUGUAGGUGCUAGGGCAUGGACGUGAAGCUGGGGCCGCGAAAUGAGUUAGUUGUGGGCCGCUGGCCUCAAGGAGCGAAUGUCAGCGCGAAGAGGAGAAGCUUGUGCAUACGCUCUGAUAAGGGUUUUAAUAGAGAGACGGAAUCUCGCUGUGUCACCCAGGCUGGAAUGCAGUGACUCGAUCAUAACUCACUAUGACCUCGAACUCCCAGGCUAAACAGUCCUCAAGCAAUCCUUCCACCUCAGCCUCCUGAGUAGCUGGGAGUAGCUGAUUAACUAAUGUGUGCCACCACGCCCAGCUAACUUGUGUAUGUGUGUGCAUGUGUGUGCACGCAUGUAGAGCUAGGGGUCUUGCUAUGUUGCUCAGGCUAGUCUUGAACUCCUGGCCUCAAGCAGUCUUCUCGCCUUGACCUCUCAAACCAGUGGGACUGUAGGUGUGAGCCACUGCUCCUGGCUGAGCACUGUUUUUUUAGGACAGAGACUGUAUUCAUUGUUGCAAUCUUCAGCUUUUGGAACAUCGUCUAGGACAGAGAAGCUGCACAAUAUGUAUUUAUCGAAUGAGUGAAUGAUACUUUUGGGAGAGAAGACAGUGGGUUGGAGAAAUAUCUUGGAAGAAUUGGAAAUUUUAGGUGGACCUUGAAGAAAAGGUAAAAUUCAAUUAGGACACAAGCAGUGAUCAAAAGCAUUGAGUUGGGAACAAAGUGGUAGGAUGUGGGAGUUAGUAUGCAGUGAAAAAAACUAAAAUAUAGAAAGAGAUUAUGUGUUUAAUAGAAAUAGGAUUGACUAAAGUGAAUCCACAUUGUAUCUGUAAGAGGUCCAUCGUUGAACUUUAUUGUUUUUGUUUUGUUUUUGAGACAGGGUCUCACUCUUAUCUAGGCUGGAGUGCAGUGGCACAAUCUCAGCUCACUGCAGUCUCAGCCUGCCAGGUUCAAGUGAUUCUCCUGCCUCAGCCUCCCAUGUAGGGAUUACAGGCCUGCACCACCACACCUGGAUAAUUUUUGUGUUUUUAGUACAGACGGGAUUUCACCAUGUUGGCCAGGCUUGUCUCGAACUCCUGACUUCAAGUGAUCCACCUGCCUCGGCCUUCCAGAGUGCUGGGAUUACAGGCCUGAGCCACUGCACCCAGCCACCUGUAUUUAUUUUUGAGACGGGGUCUUGUUCUGUCUCCUUGGCUGGAGUGCAGUGGUGCAAUCAUGGCUCACUGCAGCCUUGACUUCCCAGGCUCAAUGAAUCAUCUCACCUCAGUCUCCUGAGUACAGGGACUACAGGUGUGCACCACCAUACCUGGCUAAUGUUUGUAUUUUUUGUAGAGAUGGUGUUUCGCCAUCUUGCCCAAUCUGGUCUCAAACUCCUGGCCUCAAGUGAUCCACCCGUCUAGGCCUCCUACAGUGCUGGGAUUACAGGGUUGAGCCACCACACCCAGCCUCAUGGUUGAACUUUAGGAGAGCCACACAUCUCCUGAUGAUACAUGCAAAACUUCAUGCGUCCAUUUUUUUCUAAGUUGAAGUUUCAUAGUUUUCAUCCAAUUCUCAAAGGUGUUUAUAAACCAAUAAAGGUUAAAAAUCAUGUUGUGCAUUUGAAAGACUAAUAGAAAGGCUUAAGCUUAAUGCUGUAGCAAAUUAGUCUUCAAAAGUUUUCUACUAUAGCAUUCAUUAGGAACAGAAGAGAGGGAAUGAGACCCUAAAAUUUAGAGAUGAAGUCUGAAACUUAGGACUUUAUAUUUAUCUGAACAUCAUAUGUAAAUUUUACUAUUAUGGGACCGGUAUUAAUGCUUCCUUAUAAAAAUAUAUUUAGCCUCAUCAGUGAUCAGGGAACCAUAUUUGGGACCAGUCUGUUCAGUUGGCACAAAUUAAAAAGGCCGUCAUAUC
This 2177-nucleotide non-coding RNA is filed under the name Pongo abelii (Sumatran orangutan). Lineage: Eukaryota; Metazoa; Chordata; Mammalia; Primates; Hominidae. The record is from RNAcentral.